CAGUCGCCGCGGUAAUACGUAGGGUGCAAGCGUUAAUCGGAAUUACUGGGCGUAAAGCGUGCGCAGGCGGUUAUAUAAGACAGAUGUGAAAUCCCCGGGCUCAACCUGGGAACUGCAUUUGUGACUGUAUAGCUAGAGUACGGCAGAGGGGGAUGGAAUUCCGCGUGUAGCAGCGAAAUGCGUAGAUAUGCGGAGGAACACCGAUGGCGAAGGCAAUCCCCUGGGCCUGUACUGACGCUCAUGCACGAAAGCGUGGGGAGCAAACAGGAUUAGAUACCCGUGUAGUCCCUGUCUCUUAUAC
Molecule: ribosomal RNA, 301 nt
Filed under: uncultured bacterium
Lineage: Bacteria
Description: partial 16S ribosomal RNA
Rfam family: Bacterial small subunit ribosomal RNA
Source: RNAcentral